Molecule: long non-coding RNA, 519 nt
Organism: Esox lucius (northern pike)
Lineage: Eukaryota; Metazoa; Chordata; Actinopteri; Esociformes; Esocidae
Exons: 3
Source: RefSeq, a predicted model, not a curated record
GGAGACGAUAGGGGGGAGAGAUAAUGGGGGGUGGGAGGGGGUGGAGACAGAGGGACAGUUGUGGGGGGUAGAUCGAGAAAAAAGAACGGAACAGUUGAAGAAGGUCAGAAACAAAGCAAACAGACCAUUACCUUAACAUCCCUGUUGAUUUGAACCAUGUGAUGAACAGCAUUCCACACAUCUACACAACUGGCCCGGACAAUACGGGACAAGGUUUACGAGUUAGCGAGCUCGGCCCUUGAUGUCGCCUGGAGAUAACUGGCAGCGUGACAGCCAGUAACCUUACAGCCGGGAUCAUUUCUAUGGGAAUGUAUCCUUUGGUGCGUUGCAGUAGGAUGAAGCCUGAGCUGGAAUGUGACGGUAACUGAAGCUAGCUUGAGUAAAAAGCAACGUUCUGUGUCUGCUGCACUGAGCUUUGUGUUCUCGGUGCCUUUCAGAUUAACUGAACACUAACGAGAAUGGAGGCUGGCAUACACACAGAUAAGACCAGGGGCAGAGGAGGAUAGAGAGAGACAGGCA